GACGAACCGUGCGAACGUUAUUCGGAAUCACUGGGCUUAAAGCGCGUGUAGGCGGGCCACCACGUCGGUCGUUGAAAGCCCCCGGCUCAACCGGGGAACCGGCGCCGAUACGAGUGGCCUGGAGGGGGGUAGGGGGACCUGGAACUUCCGGUGGAGCGGUGAAAUGCGUUGAGAUCGGAAGGAACGCCCGUGGCGAAAGCGAGGUCCUGGACCCCAUCUGACGCUGAGACGCGAAAGCCAGGGGAGCGAACGGG
RNAcentral lists this ribosomal RNA (254 nucleotides) under uncultured bacterium. RNAcentral's name for it is "partial 16S ribosomal RNA". It matches the Rfam family "Bacterial small subunit ribosomal RNA", at positions 524 to 776 of the family's 1533-position model. The record is from RNAcentral.